UGGGGAAUUUUGGACGAAUUGGGCGAAAGCCUGAUCCAGCAAUGCCGCGUGUGUGAAGAAGGCCUUCGGGUUGUAAAGCACUUUUGUCCGGAAAGAAAUCCUUGGCUCUAAUACAGUCGGGGGAUGACGGUACCGGAAGAAUAAGCACCGGCUAACUACGUGCCAGCAGCCGCGGUAAUACGUAGGGUGCAAGCGUUAAUCGGAAUUACUGGGCGUAAAGCGUGCGCAGGCGGUUUGCUAAGACCGAUGUGAAAUCCCCGGGCNCAACCUGGGAAUGCUUGGUGACUGGCAGGCUAGAGUAUGGCAGAGGGGGGUAGAAUUCCACGUGUAGCAGUGAAAUGCGUAGAGAUGUGGAGGAAUACCGAUGGCGAAGGCAGCCCCCUGGCCAAUACUGACGCUCAUGCACGAAAGCGUGGGGGAGC
Molecule: ribosomal RNA, 422 nt
Filed under: uncultured bacterium
Lineage: Bacteria
Description: partial 16S ribosomal RNA
Rfam family: Bacterial small subunit ribosomal RNA
Source: RNAcentral